Long non-coding RNA from Diceros bicornis minor, 638 nucleotides. RefSeq lists it as uncharacterized. Lineage: Eukaryota; Metazoa; Chordata; Mammalia; Perissodactyla; Rhinocerotidae. The transcript is spliced from 3 exons. The record is from RefSeq and is a predicted model, not a curated record.
CUGCUUCUGGCCCCUCAGAAGCUGGGCAUUCCCACGCACCUUCUAAUUAAACAAUGUAACGGGAAAUCAUCCCAAGAAGAAAGAACCCACAAGCUCCGGUGAAACUUCAGCAGGAAUGCGGAGGGUGCUAAAGCCAGUCGUCCAACCGAGGGGCGGGGAAAUCUCUCACGCCCCCGGCGUCUCGCCAGCCACCCCUGGACCUUGUGGCGACAUCGGGCAGGGGCCCUGGGAACCCCAGUGCGUGGUUCCAAGAGGGAGACCGCGCCCUCCCGCAGGGCAGGGGCGACCUGUAUCACCUGCAAAAGAAGUAACAUAUGGAAUCCUGUGAACUGGACUGACUUCAUCCUGGAAUCAUAGUGGGGUCUCAGUCCCAGAUCACCAGCAGCAUGGACAGUGGAGCCAGUAGAGGGUUACUGGAGUGACACAUGUGGAAAAAUACUGAACAUAUUUUUAUUUUCCCAUGGCAUCUGGCAAUGUCUCACAUAUGACGACAUUUGGUCUGUGAAUGUUACUGAGCACUGUGACUAAUGGUGACUGAGCCCACCAAAGGCCACUUCGGAGAGAAGGCUGUGAAAAAUGCGUGGGAGAGGGCUUCAGGGAAGAUGGAGAAGGCUGGGCAAAGACCCACUGGGCCAUGA